Molecule: ribosomal RNA, 424 nt
Filed under: uncultured prokaryote
Description: bacterial SSU rRNA
Rfam family: Bacterial small subunit ribosomal RNA
Source: RNAcentral
UAGGGAAUCUUCGGCAAUGGGGGCAACCCUGACCGAGCCAUGCCGCGUGAACGAUGAAGGCCUUAGGGUUGUAAAGUUCUUUCGCCUGGGAAGAUAAUGACGGUACCAGGUAAAGAAACCCCGGCUAACUCCGUGCCAGCAGCCGCGGUAAUACGGAGGGGGUUAGCGUUGUUCGGAAUUACUGGGCGUAAAGCGCGCGUAGGCGGACCGAAAAGUUGGGGGUGAAAUCCCGGGGCUCAACCCCGGAACUGCCUUCAAAACUGCCGGUCUGGAGGUCGAGAGAGGUGAGUGGAAUUCCGAGUGUAGAGGUGAAAUUCGUAGAUAUUCGGAGGAACACCAGUGGCGAAGGCGGCUCACUGGCUCGAUACUGACGCUGAGGUGCGAAAGCGUGGGGAGCAAACAGGAUUAGAUACCCCCGUAGUCC